GACGAACGCUGGCGGCGUGCUUAACACAUGCAAGUCGAACGGAAAGGCCCUGCUUGCAGGGUGCUCGAGUGGCGAACGGGUGAGUAACACGUGGGUGAUCUGCCCCUUACUUUGGGAUAAGCCUGGGAAACUGGGUCUAAUACUGGAUAGGACCAUGCUGUAGGUGGUGUGGUGGAAAGAUUAGUUUCGGAAGGGAUGAGCUCGCGGCCUAUCAGCUUGUUGGUGGGGUAAUGGCCUACCAAGGCGUCGACGGGUAGCCGGCCUGAGAGGGUGGACGGCCACAUUGGGACUGAGAUACGGCCCAGACUCCUACGGGAGGCAGCAGUGGGGAAUAUUGCACAAUGGGCGCAAGCCUGAUGCAGCGACGCCGCGUGGGGGAUGACGGCCUUCGGGUUGUAAACUCCUUUCAGCCAUGACGAAGCCCUUGUGGUGACGGUAGUGGUAGAAGAAGCACCGGCUAACUACGU
RNAcentral lists this ribosomal RNA (467 nucleotides) under uncultured bacterium. RNAcentral describes it as "partial 16S ribosomal RNA". It matches the Rfam family "Bacterial small subunit ribosomal RNA", at positions 28 to 506 of the family's 1533-position model. The record is from RNAcentral.